Lactuca sativa (garden lettuce) is the source of this 107-nucleotide small nucleolar RNA. The record is from RefSeq and is a predicted model, not a curated record. NCBI's taxonomy places the organism in Eukaryota, Viridiplantae, Streptophyta, Magnoliopsida, Asterales, Asteraceae.
AAGUCAUGUUGAGGGGAAUUUCAUAACAUUCCCUUGUAUCGCUCACAUGCUUCGUAUAAUGACUCCCCAUCGAAUUGUUGAAAAUUCUAUAUAUUUUUCUUUAAUUU